This 555-nucleotide ribosomal RNA is filed under the name uncultured bacterium. Its description in RNAcentral is "partial 16S ribosomal RNA". It matches the Rfam family "Bacterial small subunit ribosomal RNA", at positions 357 to 905 of the family's 1533-position model. The record is from RNAcentral.
UGGGAAUUUGGACAAUGGGCGAAAGCCUGAUCCAGCAAUGCCGCGUGUGUGAAGAAGGCCUUCGGGUUGUAAAGCACUUUUGUCCGGAAAGAAAUCCUUGGCUCUAAUACAGUCGGGGGAUGACGGUACCGGAAGAAUAAGCACCGGCUAACUACGUGCCAGCAGCCGCGGUAAUACGUAGGGUGCAAGCGUUAAUCGGAAUUACUGGGCGUAAAGCGUGCGCAGGCGGUUUGCUAAGACCGAUGUGAAAUCCCCGGGCUCAACCUGGGAACUGCAUUGGUGACUGGCAGGCUAGAGUAUGGCAGAGGGGGGUAGAAUUCCACGUGUAGCAGUGAAAUGCGUAGAGAUGUGGAGGAAUACCGAUGGCGAAGGCAGCCCCCUGGGCCAAUACUGACGCUCAUGCACGAAAGCGUGGGGAGCAAACAGGAUUAGAUACCCUGGUAGUCCACGCCCUAAACGAUGUCAACUAGUUGUUGGGGAUUCAUUUCCUUAGUAACGUAGCUAACGCGUGAAGUUGACCGCCUGGGGAGUACGGUCGCAAGAUUAAAACUCAAA